This 729-nucleotide ribosomal RNA is filed under the name uncultured Staphylococcus sp. Its description in RNAcentral is "bacterial SSU rRNA". It matches the Rfam family "Bacterial small subunit ribosomal RNA", at positions 63 to 778 of the family's 1533-position model. Lineage: Bacteria; Bacillati; Bacillota; Bacilli; Caryophanales; Staphylococcaceae. The record is from RNAcentral.
CGAACAGACGAGGAGCUUGCUCCUCUGACGUUAGCGGCGGACGGGUGAGUAACACGUGGAUAACCUACCUAUAAGACUGGGAUAACUUCGGGAAACCGGAGCUAAUACCGGAUAAUAUAUUGAACCGCAUGGUUCAAUAGUGAAAGACGGUUUUGCUGUCACUUAUAGAUGGAUCCGCGCCGCAUUAGCUAGUUGGUAAGGUAACGGCUUACCAAGGCAACGAUGCGUAGCCGACCUGAGAGGGUGAUCGGCCACACUGGAACUGAGACACGGUCCAGACUCCUACGGGAGGCAGCAGUAGGGAAUCUUCCGCAAUGGGCGAAAGCCUGACGGAGCAACGCCGCGUGAGUGAUGAAGGUCUUCGGAUCGUAAAACUCUGUUAUUAGGGAAGAACAAAUGUGUAAGUAACUAUGCACGUCUUGACGGUACCUAAUCAGAAAGCCACGGCUAACUACGUGCCAGCAGCCGCGGUAAUACGUAGGUGGCAAGCGUUAUCCGGAAUUAUUGGGCGUAAAGCGCGCGUAGGCGGUUUUUUAAGUCUGAUGUGAAAGCCCACGGCUCAACCGUGGAGGGUCAUUGGAAACUGGAAAACUUGAGUGCAGAAGAGGAAAGUGGAAUUCCAUGUGUAGCGGUGAAAUGCGCAGAGAUAUGGAGGAACACCAGUGGCGAAGGCGACUUUCUGGUCUGUAACUGACGCUGAUGUGCGAAAGCGUGGGGAUCAAACAGGAU